UAGCGUAUAUUAAAGUUGUUGCAGUUAGAACGCUCGUAGUCGGAUUUCGGGGCGGGCCGUCCGGUCUGCCGAUGGGUACGCACUGGUCGGCGCGUCCUUCCUUCCGGAGACCGUCCCUACUCUUAACUGAGCGGGGGCGGGAGACGGAACGUUUACUUUGAAAAAAUCAGAGUGUUUCAAGCAGGCAGCUCGCUCUUGCAUGGAUUAGCAUGGGAUAAUGAAAUAGGACUUUGGUGCUAUUUUGUUGGUUUCGAACACCGAAGUAAUGAUGAGAAGGGACAGUCAGGGGCACUCGUAUUCCGCAGAGAGAGGUGAAAUUCUCAGACCCGCGGAAGACGAACCACUGCGAAAGCAUUUG
This 358-nucleotide ribosomal RNA is filed under the name Haptophyta environmental samples. RNAcentral describes it as "SSU rRNA". It matches the Rfam family "Eukaryotic small subunit ribosomal RNA", at positions 595 to 957 of the family's 1831-position model. The record is from RNAcentral. Lineage: Eukaryota; Haptophyta.